This 747-nucleotide long non-coding RNA is filed under the name Cicer arietinum (chickpea). RNAcentral describes it as "long non-coding RNA (CARI_LNC003209)". Lineage: Eukaryota; Viridiplantae; Streptophyta; Magnoliopsida; Fabales; Fabaceae. The record is from RNAcentral.
UUUGAAUUAAAUUUAUGAUGUUUAAGUUAGUUAAGCUGAAUCGACUUAACAGGAAAAAGCUUUGUUAAGCCAGUUUAUGAAACGAGUUAUAAAAACAUGUUUUUUAAGUCGUUUGCGGUUAACUCGGAUACAAAACCAACUUAAAAUGUACAUUUUAACCGACUUAAAAUUUAAAAGAUAAAAUUCUACCACGAACUAAAAAAAUCCAUUACCAAGAGAAACCAUUUUCCAAAGACCAAUAACUUUCCAAAGUUUCUAUAGAUAUCGCGUAUGACUUCGAUUUUAAUUAGAACACCCCCUUGGACAGAAUGACCCGACCAUGUAGCAAAUUUGUGCAUGAUGCAAAACGAGUGAAAUAUUCAUUUUCUAAAAUGAAAACCACGAGAAGUUUACCCUUUAUACAAGGUUUGCGCACUGCACUGAGAGGAAAAUCAAAAGAGUUAUGAUGAGCUUGAGUGAAAUUUUUAUUGAAAUCCUGAAUAGAUGAAGUUGAAUGUAUGAUUGCAUCGUCAUAGAGAUCACAACGAAAGGGACAUAGGGGAAGAUGGCGUCUGAAUCCACUAGACCCAGAAAUUCGGACAUACGAUGGCAGACCCCGUCCAUAUAUUGUACAAACACCUAAUAAUGAUUUAAGUAUAGAAAGGGUUUUUGUUUAGUUCAAUGUUUCCUAAUAUGUAUUUCAUUGAAGUAUAAUGUUUGUUUUGAUCCUCAUUAUAGUACGAAAGGAUAAAAAAAGGAAAAAUAAAA